CGACUCAGGGUUAAACUAUCAACCCUGAUUAGAUCAUCCGAGUCGUGCUCAACUCAAUCAGUCCUGUGACUCCUCACUAGGACUACCCUGACCAAGAUUUUGCUAAAUUAAAACACGACUGUAUACAGCUCCUGAACUGGAGUGGUCAAUCCCAUCUUGACACACACACCGACAAGUCAAAUACUUGACACACCCAGCAACCUUCCGUCACUGAAUUAGAAAUUCAGGUAGUCCAGUGCCUAAGUGUAGUGAGUUGCUUGCAAGUCACCGUGGCGGUC
This 278-nucleotide long non-coding RNA is filed under the name Elaeis guineensis (African oil palm). RNAcentral's name for it is "long non-coding RNA (EGUI_LNC042809)". The record is from RNAcentral. Lineage: Eukaryota; Viridiplantae; Streptophyta; Magnoliopsida; Arecales; Arecaceae.